AAGGGAGACCUAAUUCAGGUAUGGGACGAAAAAAAAGUAGUCGCUACCAAGAAUCAAUCCCAAAAGGUCGGAGCGAGGCGAAAUUGGCUUUCAAACUAGGUUCUGGGUUCACACAAGACCUGAAUCAGGAACAAGGGCUAUUAGCUCAGGUGGUUAGAGCGCACCCCUGAUAAGGGUGAGGUCCCUGGUUCGAGUCCAGGAUGGCCCACCUGCACAGGUGGCAAAAACAAGAGAAGCUCCGAAUCAGCACCUUAUCUUACUUAUAUAGUAAGAGAGAAUGCUGGCUCUGAGUUCAGAGUCCAGAGGAACCUUGAAAACUGCAUAGAGCUAGGUGAAAAAGCCAAAAAAGAAGACCACAA
Molecule: transfer RNA, 359 nt
Filed under: uncultured Microcystis sp.
Lineage: Bacteria; Bacillati; Cyanobacteriota; Cyanophyceae; Chroococcales; Microcystaceae
Description: partial miscellaneous RNA
Rfam family: tRNA (bases 135-208)
Source: RNAcentral